This 440-nucleotide ribosomal RNA is filed under the name uncultured bacterium. RNAcentral's name for it is "partial 16S ribosomal RNA". It matches the Rfam family "Bacterial small subunit ribosomal RNA", at positions 338 to 795 of the family's 1533-position model. The record is from RNAcentral.
CCUACGGGGGGCAGCAGUGGGGGAUAUUGCACAAUGGGGGAAACCCUGAUGCAGCGACGCCGCGUGUGGGAAGACGGUCUUCUGGAUUGUAAACCACUGUCCCCAGGGACGAAAAUGACGGUACCUGGGGAGGAAGCUCCGGCUAACUACGUGCCAGCAGCCGCGGUAAUACGUAGGGAGCAAGCGUUGUCCGGAAUUACUGGGUGUAAAGGGAGCGUAGGCGGGGAUGCAAGUUGGGUGUCAAAACUACCGGCUAAACCGAUAGUCGCACUCAAAACUGCAACUCUUGAGUGAAGUAGAGGCAGGCGGAAUUCCUAGUGUAGCGGUGAAAUGCGUAGAUAUUAGGAGGAACACCAGUGGCGAAGGCGGCCUGCUGGGCUUUUACUGACGCUGAGGCUCGAAAGUGUGGGGAGCAAACAGGAUUAGAUACCCGGGUAGUC